RNAcentral lists this long non-coding RNA (233 nucleotides) under Nicotiana benthamiana. RNAcentral's name for it is "long non-coding RNA (NBEN_LNC013445)". Lineage: Eukaryota; Viridiplantae; Streptophyta; Magnoliopsida; Solanales; Solanaceae. The record is from RNAcentral.
GGGGAGGGUAAUAUGUAGACAAGUCUUACCCCUACCCGAAAGGGCAGGGAGGCUGUUUCCAAUCGAUCCUCGGCGCAUAGGACAAAAGGAAAAACAGCUGUAAAACAAAACAAAAAACAGAAAGCAUUAGUGCAGCUUAUUCUGUGUGUAAAUUCUAUGAUGUUAUAUUUGUUUUCCCUUAUUCUGUUGAAAACUAAACAAAAGAAAAGUAAUUAGUCCGUGUUAGAGAGGAA